Corapipo altera (White-ruffed manakin) is the source of this 108-nucleotide long non-coding RNA. RefSeq lists it as uncharacterized. The transcript has 3 exons. The record is from RefSeq and is a predicted model, not a curated record. NCBI's taxonomy places the organism in Eukaryota, Metazoa, Chordata, Aves, Passeriformes, Pipridae.
CCAUUGGACUUAAGCAACUUAAGCACUGGCCACAUAGGGCUGUUAAAGGGUGAGUGAAUCUUACUGACCACUCCCUGGCUCUCCAAAAUCCUCUUAAGAAUAUGGAUG